Molecule: ribosomal RNA, 254 nt
Filed under: uncultured bacterium
Lineage: Bacteria
Description: partial 16S ribosomal RNA
Rfam family: Bacterial small subunit ribosomal RNA
Source: RNAcentral
UACGGGGGGAGCAAGCGUUGUUCGGAUUUACUGGGCGUAAAGGGCGCGUAGGCGGCCACCGCAAGUCAGUUGUGAAAUCUCUGGGCUUAACCCAGAAAGGUCAACUGAUACUGCGGGGCUAGAGUGCAGAAGGGGCAACUGGAAUUCUCGGUGUAGCGGUGAAAUGCGUAGAUAUCGGGAGGAACACCGGUGGCGAAGGCGGCCUUCUGGACGGAUACUGACGCUGAGACGCGAAAGCGUGGGGAGCAAACAGG